This 101-nucleotide small nuclear RNA is filed under the name Salvator merianae (Argentine black and white tegu). Lineage: Eukaryota; Metazoa; Chordata; Lepidosauria; Squamata; Teiidae. The record is from RNAcentral.
AUGUGCUCGCUUCGGCACAUAAAGUUGGAACGAUACAGAGAAGAUUGGCAUGGUCCGUAUGCAAGGAUGACACACAAAUUUGUGAAGCCCUCCAUAUUUUU